RNAcentral lists this unclassified non-coding RNA (854 nucleotides) under Hevea brasiliensis (rubber tree). The record is from RNAcentral. Lineage: Eukaryota; Viridiplantae; Streptophyta; Magnoliopsida; Malpighiales; Euphorbiaceae.
GAUCUCAGCAUUCUGGAGCAAGCCCGCAAUAUCAAAAUCAAAAUCUCGAAGCACCGAGUCUUGAGGCAGAGCAUUAUGACUGAUGUCAGGCUUUUUUCUUGUACUAGGAGACAAGCAUUUGAACAAUGUACAGUAAAUUUAUUUGUUUUUUCAUUUACUAAAGAGUUGUACUAUACAAUAUAACUAAUUCAAAUAAAAUAUUUAUGAUUCUCAGUCUAGAAUUAAUCUUCUCUCUGCGGAAAAAAAAAUAAAAAAUCCUUCUCUCUACACAAUUAGAAGAGGCAAGGCGGAACACUGAAUUAUGAAAUAGAGAGGCAGUCAGAGGUAUUGAAAAGGAAUUGCUGGAGGAAGUUAAAAGGGAAGAACUCUUUUGGGCGCAGAAGGCAAGAUAGGAGUGGUUAAAAACAGGGGAUAGGAACACCAGUUAUUUUCAUGCAAAGGUAACUCAACGUCGAUGCAGGAACCAGAUCAACAAUAUUCAGGAUCAUAUGGGACGAUGGUGUUCUAAUUCCAAGAAAUAUUAGAUGUCGCACUAAACUACUCCAACAACUUGUACACCACCUCGAGACCGAAUAACAUGAGUCAAGUUACGGUGGGGUUCUUGCCUAGAUUUACUGCACAAAUGAAUGAGAGUCUCACAAGAUCUUUCUCUAGGGAAGAAAUCAAGGCUGCGACCUUCUCUAUACACCCACAUAAAGCAUCAGGGAAGAUGGAAUUAGGGGCAUUUUUUUUCCAGAAGUAUUGGGGAAUAGUCAAAGAUAGUGUCUACGAGGCAGUGCUUGAAUUUUUCCACACAGGAGAACUCUUAGAGAAGUAUUAAUCACACCAUUAUCACUCUUAUCCCAAGGUCAAGC